UUAUUCUAUACUACUAGGUCUUUUUUAGGAGAGAUGUCUGUUUCAGUUCACAGGAUUCGUUUUAGUAUGGAAAACCAAUAUACGGUAAAAGAUGCAAAGAGUCAUGCAUACCAUUGAAGCAUCUGAAUCAGAUAUCUUUCAUUUCACAGAUGUGCUUAAAUAAAAUACUGUUAGACAGAUGCCAUUUCAUAGGUCACGGGGUUGCAAUACAUUAAUGUUAAAACUACUCAAAUUGUUAAUUAAGCUAAAACUACACAUGACUUCCACACACACACACAAAGCUAACAAUGACCAAAUUUAAUUAACUUACAAGAUUCUUGGCAACUUUAGGGUCGUUGAUUGUAUCAUACGACUCUGUGUAAGUUGGGAUAACAGGAAAUUCCUCACCCUUCUCUUUGUGGUGGACCACCCUAUAUAUGAUAGGUAGCCGCCCCGUGUGGUGCUCCGACUCCUUCUUACCACGGUUAGUCGUGUUAGCCGCCGAUCGUGUCUACCAAAUAUUGAACCAAUCAGUAAGCAACAAACAAAAUUAGAGAAACAUGAUGCUUUUGCUAAUUUAUAUGAAUUAUUUACCCAAAAAAAAUAUUAUUAUAUAACAGGACUUGAUGAAUAAAAUUGAGAGAAAAAGAAAGUAAAGGAGACUAG
RNAcentral lists this long non-coding RNA (645 nucleotides) under Fragaria vesca (wild strawberry). Its description in RNAcentral is "long non-coding RNA (FVES_LNC004734)". Lineage: Eukaryota; Viridiplantae; Streptophyta; Magnoliopsida; Rosales; Rosaceae. The record is from RNAcentral.